Molecule: long non-coding RNA, 3054 nt
Organism: Oncorhynchus tshawytscha (Chinook salmon)
Lineage: Eukaryota; Metazoa; Chordata; Actinopteri; Salmoniformes; Salmonidae
Source: Ensembl
GAGAGGGUAGGGGUAGAGAGAAAGAGAGGGUAGGGGUAGAGAGAAAGAGAGGGUAGGGGUAGAGAGAAAGAGAGGGUAGGGGUAGAGAGAAAGAGAGGGUAGGGGUAGAGAGAAACAGAGGGUAGGGGUAGAGAGAAAGAUAUGGAGAACAAUGCCUUCACAUUGGCCGGGAGAAAGAAAAAGAGAAAUAGAAAGAGGACAAGCCUUGACGUGGGCAACACAUCCACCCUGGCCACUGCUGCGGAGACCGCAGGGCUGGCAUACUGAGACCGCAAGGCUGGCAUGCUGAGACCGCAGGGCUGGCAUACUGAGACUGCAGGGUUGGCAUACUGAGACCGCAGGGUUGGCAUACUGAGACCGCAGGGCUGGCAUACUGAGACCGCAGGGCUGGCAUACUGAGACCGCAGGGCUGGCAUACUGAGACCGCAGGGCUGGCAUACUGAGACCGCAGGGCUGGCAUACUGAGACCGCAGGGCUGGCAUACUGAGCUCCUAAAGAGAACAGUAUGUUUGUCUAAGAGAAAAUGAACUCCUGCAUUCACACAGUCAACAGCUGCUGCAGCAGUUGAGAUCUGCUAAAAGCUAAAAGCAGAUGCUGAAAGGAGAAUGGGUUUCAAAUGUACCGUGUCUAUCCAUGUCUCAGUUCAAUCAGUAUCGGUGGAAUAUUCCAAUUUCUGUACAAUGCUGUAACUCCAUUUUGAGUCAUCCAUGUUUGUGGCUCUUACGCCAUAGAUGUUGACUGGUAGAUGGAUAUGUUUGUGUUUUAUCCUUCUCCUUUGUCUUUUGCGUGAGUUGGCUAAAACAGAAACAAAUCUGGCGCAAAGCUCCAUGUUCACUGUCACCUUUUGCACCAUUAUGGCCUUUUGAUGUGUUUGAAUGACUAACCGUCCUCAGGUCUAGACGCUGUCACCAUUAUGGCCUUUUGAUGUGUUUGAAUGACUAACCGUCCUCAAGUCUAGACGCUGUCACCAUUAUGGCCUUUUGAUGUGUUUGAAUGACUAACCGUCCUCAGGUCUAGACGCUGUCACCAUUAUGGCCUUUUGAUGUGUUUGAAUGACUAACUGUCCUCAGGUCUAGACGCUGUCAGCAGCAGCAAUGGAUAUUUUCCAGGACUCUAUAAUAUGCAGUAGUAGGCUGUUAACAGUACAGUUCCGUAAUGAAUAGCAGAUCCCUUUGGUUCCCUCGGCCUACUCAUUCACAUUUCGUUAUUAAGGGCUUCAGUUAAUAUCGUCUUCAACAACAUUUUAUAUCACAAAACACCUACAUGUUAUUACGAAACAGUGUUAAGUUAACCUCCUUACACACACGCACGUAUGUACAAAUACAUGCUCCCACAAAUGUAGGCAUGCACGUACACACACAAACACACACGCCCCCCUCCGACACACACAGUCAAACUCUUUAAUCAAUAAAAGCUGUAGAUGAAAUCACACUGAAUAGACCUUAGAUGUGUCUUUACAGGGCUAUUUAACAAUGUAAAACAAACAUAUUAUAGGCUAAUAUGUGUUUUUUAAUUUAAUUGUAUGGUGCUUGUGUACAGUUGCUAUUGACAUAACAAAAUAGUCUAUUCUAUGUGUUGCUUUUCAAUGUUUGUAUUGUGUUCCAUCAUUUUAAUAACAACUUUGUAUAUGUUUGGUUAGUAUUCAUCACAUCCACUUCAUCAUUAUCUUGUACUGUACAAUACAUAUCCCAUGCUGUUGGACUAUCUAGCGUUGGGAUUUCUAUAAUGGCCAGUUUGCUAACCAGUUAUCCGAUGCAAUAAUGUUUGAAACCAUAUGUAAGCUGAGGGUGUGAGCUAUGGUACUUAUUUAAUAUGCAUAUGGAACGAUUGUGCUGUCAGGGACUCAAAUAACUCCCAAAACCAAAUAUUUGUUUAAUGUGUGACCAAAGUAUACUUUCAUGAAAAUAAAUUAGCAAUUCUUAUGUCAAAUGGUUUCACAUGAAGAUUUGUUUCAUGUUAACCCAUUUACUAAAGAUAUUUAUUUUGAGUCCACUAUUACUAGGUUUCUAUUCAACCAUUUCGUGAGGAUGAAUUACCUGAUGCAUGAAAAUAGUCACGAACGGACUGAUGCUAACAUAAUAUGACGGUACAAUUUUAUUAAUGUCUACAGACAAUUUGUUUGUUCGACAUGGUGGAAUCUUUUUGUGUUAGUAAAAUUAUGUAUGCGAGAAAUGCCGGUAGAAACGCCUUUAUGCUCAAAUAUUGAUAUAAUAACCAUCAUAUGGACGUUAACUUGGAGUCAUGCGAUGAUAUGUUGUGUGGUCCUCCCACUACGACUCAGGAAACCAUGUAGUUUAUUAGGCUACUGAUUAAAUAACAAUGAACUUCACAGGGUGGUGAAAGAGCAAGCUGAUGAGCUUGAUGCUCCUUUCUAAUCAAUAUCCAGGGUCUUAUUCUGGUGACAUGAACUGAUGCUUGGCUGCCGCUUGAAAAUAAAAAAUAAUAUUGCUCUUAUCCACAAUAAUCUAAUAAUGUAGGUAACCUACCUGCACUGUGUCUGUGAGCUGUUGGCUAACACGCACUUGCCAAUACCAGAGUGGGCAUAUAAAGCAACAGUUAGUCUGACAAAACCAUCAGUAGAGUUGAAAAUGCGAUUGAAACCCAUUUAACUUGUGAUUUUCAUUCUGUACAUGGCAAUUUAACCGCAGAAGGUAAUUGUAUUUACACUACGUCAUCACACACAGCCUUUUAUCAGCAAUAAGUCCAUUUGAUGGAAACACCUCUCAUGUGAGCAUGUUAUUUUAUGCAGAUUUUAGAAUAUUCGCAUCAAAUUGGAUGGAAACCUUGCUAAUGUUGUUAUGCCUAAUUGGUGUGUUUGUAUGGAAAACCGGAAUUGGACUUGGUGAUGUCUGCCCUCGGAAUAGCUGGGAUAGCUGUGGUUCAGUACUAGCUGCCUUGACUGCACAGCUGACUUACAGCCCAAAUAUCACUACAUUCAUUACUGUGAACCAAUAAAAAAACAGAUGCAAAGUUGUCUACCCUGCCUGUUUUUUUCUGAUCUUCUUGAUUCUCUUCGUCUUAAUUCUCUUUGACUUUAUGUCUACCCAGCCCAGC